This 235-nucleotide ribosomal RNA is filed under the name uncultured Staphylococcus sp. RNAcentral's name for it is "partial 16S ribosomal RNA". It matches the Rfam family "Bacterial small subunit ribosomal RNA", at positions 105 to 334 of the family's 1533-position model. Lineage: Bacteria; Bacillati; Bacillota; Bacilli; Caryophanales; Staphylococcaceae. The record is from RNAcentral.
GGUGAGUAACACGUGGAUAACCUACCUAUAAGACUGGGAUAACUUCGGGAAACCGGAGCUAAUACCGGAUAAUAUAUUGAACCGCAUGGUUCAAUAGUGAAAGACGGUCUUGCUGUCACUUAUAGAUGGAUCCGCGCCGCAUUAGCUAGUUGGUAAGGUAACGGCUUACCAAGGCAACGAUGCGUAGCCGACCUGAGAGGGUGAUCGGCCACACUGGAACUGAGACACGGUCCAG